UACGAAGGGGGCUAGCGUUUUUCGGAAUCACUGGGCGUAAAGCGCAUGAAGGCGGAUCGAUAAGUCGGGGGUGAAAGCCCGGGGCUCAACCUCGGAAUUGCCUUCGAUACUGUCGGUCUCGAGUCCGGGAGAGGUGAGUGGAAUUCCUAGUGUAGAGGUGAAAUUCGUAGAUAUUAGGAAGAACACCAGUGGCGAAGGCGGCUCACUGGCCCGGUACUGACGCUCAGGUGCGAAAGCGUGGGGAGCAAACAGG
Molecule: ribosomal RNA, 253 nt
Filed under: uncultured bacterium
Lineage: Bacteria
Description: partial 16S ribosomal RNA
Rfam family: Bacterial small subunit ribosomal RNA
Source: RNAcentral